GAAAUCAGUCGUUUUCAAUAACUAGAGGCUCUCGUAUUUCAGUUCUUUGGUCGAGAAAGCGGGUCGUGACAGCUGGCGCAUUGGUUCAGGUUAAAAGUUCAGAUUUUUAUUCCCGUGAUGUAUUUCGCAAUAUUCUCUUAAUGCUGGUUUGAAAGCUAAAUACACAGUGUUUGAUUUUUAUUAAGGUCUAUUUCUUAUCUUUGCUGUCUCUUUUCAAAUCAUUGUUACUGUUUAGUAUGUUUAAAUCCAUGUUUUCUUUUGUUUAUCUUAAUUAAUUCCAUUAAUGUUUCGUUUAAUCUGCUGCUGAGUGUUUGAGUUAACUCUCAUAAGAUUUUGCUAUAUGAGGUUAAAAAUAAUGAUAUGGAAGACUUAAGUUCAAAUGUUACUUCUUUACUGUUAAAUGGGUUUUGGUUUUUAUUCGAAUGAAAAGGACUUGGGCACUGUUUAUUUUGUUUGACGUGAACGAGACUAAAAUAAAAGAUUUUGGGGCUUUAUUUGUUUGCUAGCCUUGAAAAUUGUAUUAACUGUUUUGCUGGGUAUUAGUUCUUUUGUUUAUUAUAAUAAGAGUAGAAAUGGUAAUAUUCA
Lycium ferocissimum is the source of this 585-nucleotide long non-coding RNA. RefSeq lists it as uncharacterized. The record is from RefSeq and is a predicted model, not a curated record. Lineage: Eukaryota; Viridiplantae; Streptophyta; Magnoliopsida; Solanales; Solanaceae. The transcript is spliced from 2 exons.